This is a non-coding RNA of Paramuricea clavata, 506 nucleotides long. The record is from the annotation of a GenBank genome assembly. NCBI's taxonomy places the organism in Eukaryota, Metazoa, Cnidaria, Anthozoa, Malacalcyonacea, Plexauridae.
GACACAUUAACUUCUGUUUAGUUUCCAGAAGAACAUUUUCUAGCAUUUUGCAAUAUUUAUCUUUAUUGCAUGAUCACUUUAUUCAGAUUUACAAAUAAAGUAAAGUACGUAUAUUAUCUACAAAUAAAACUGUCGGAUGGAAUUGGAUUAUAAUCUCGAACUGCCUGUGCCAGUGUAUAGGUAGGGAUCUGCAACUUAUCUGAAAAAUACAAGGAGAAAUACAAGGAGAACUUCGAUGUUUCGAGCGUUUCCCUUGUCAGAAAGUUAGUAGCGGAUAGCCUUCGCUCGUAACGUCGAAGUUCGCCUUGUAUUUUUCAAGUAGUUGCAUCCGUAUCAAUCUGAAGCUUUCUUGGAAUUGGAUAUACUGUAUGUCGGUUAGUAUUAUUGCAAACAUAGGCGUACCGGGCGGGGGGGGGCGGUAGCCCCCCCAGUUUUUUGGGCAGUCGGGCAAUAUUCGAUUAACAGUCGGGCAAUUUUGGUUUGCAAUAAAAAAAAAUGGGACAAAU